Molecule: ribosomal RNA, 491 nt
Filed under: uncultured bacterium
Lineage: Bacteria
Description: partial 16S ribosomal RNA
Rfam family: Bacterial small subunit ribosomal RNA
Source: RNAcentral
AGUGAACGCUGGCGGUAGGCCUAACACAUGCAAGUCGAACGGCAGCACAGUAAGAGCUUGCUCUUACGGGUGGCGAGUGGCGGACGGGUGAGGAAUACAUCGGAAUCUACUUUUUCGUGGGGGAUAACGUAGGGAAACUUACGCUAAUACCGCAUACGACCUACGGGUGAAAGCAGGGGAUCUUCGGACCUUGCGCGAUUGAAUGAGCCGAUGUCGGAUUAGCUAGUUGGCGGGGUAAAGGCCCACCAAGGCGACGAUCCGUAGCUGGUCUGAGAGGAUGAUCAGCCACACUGGAACUGAGACACGGUCCAGACUCCUACGGGAGGCAGCAGUGGGGAAUAUUGGACAAGGGGCGCAGGCCUGAUCCAGCCAUACCGCGUGGGUGAAGAAGGCCUGCGGGUUGUAAAGCCCUUUUGUUGGGAAAGAAAAGCAGCAGGUUAAUACCCCGCUGUUCUGACGGUACCCAAAGAAUAAGCACCGGCUAACUUCGU